UGGCGGCAAUAGCGCGGUGGUCCCACCUGACCCCAUGCCGAACUCAGAAGUGAAACGCCGUAGCGCCGAUGGUAGUGUGGGGUCUCCCCAUGCGAGAGUAGGACACUGCCAAGC
RNAcentral lists this ribosomal RNA (114 nucleotides) under Serratia liquefaciens. RNAcentral also lists the same sequence under 4 other names. Lineage: Bacteria; Pseudomonadati; Pseudomonadota; Gammaproteobacteria; Enterobacterales; Yersiniaceae. The record is from RNAcentral.